UUCCCUUUGAAAUCCGUGAUAAUUUGCAAGCCCUGCCACAUCCGAUGAGCGCCACAGUCGGCGUAGUAGUAUUCAAUGUUAGUCCUGUAUUGGCGUUGUGACUCUUUGAUGGCUCGUCGGAGGUCGUAGCGGGAUUCUUAUGAGCAUCCGGAAUAGUGUCCCGCUCUUUGAAAUCGACAGCUUUUGCCUUUAGCUCAGUGCUGAUGUUGCCUGUAAUCCAUGGCUUCUGGUUGGGAUAUUGUGACGACCCUCCCACUCGGUCUGCCAAAUUCUUUCUCUCUGCUCUUGUUUUCCUUAAUAGGAUGUCGGUGGGCGGAGCUGGGAGGGUUGUCAGCGGAAUGGGACACACCUGGGCUUGGGUGUGUCCCGGGGAUAAACACACCUUUCCCCCAUACAUCAAGGAGACUCUCUCCAUGCAGAUACACUGUUGUUUUUGGUUGCGCACCAGCUGUUGUUAACAAAGAGACACACACCUCCCCCGUUAACCUUACCCAAAGCUGCCAUUCGGUAUUGACAAUGCAUAGAAAAACCAUCUAGAAGUAAAUAUUAUCCAUAUCCUUGUUCAGCCACGACUCUGAGAAAUAUAGAAUAUUACAGUUCGUCAGGUCCCAUUGAUAGGAUAGUCAAGAACGAAGCUUGUCCAGUUUGUUCUCUAGUGAUUUCCCGGGAUUAGGGCCUGGUCUGGAAUAAGCAGUACAUCCACAGCUGCCGACUCGCUGAAGUAGAAGUCUUCAUCCAAAUUGAGGAAUUCCUGAUGGUCCGGUGCAGCUGAUCUUUAUCUCUCCUGAAAGCCUGUUCAUUGACCAGUGGUGGUCCUGGCUGACGACCAUUAAGCACAGGAUAUGCCUCCUGGCCAUGGACAAUGUGCACUGCAUGACAUUCAGAGUAAAAAAUAAAUAAACGUAUUGAUGUCACUUGUCUCUUGCAAGCAUAUAAUGCAACUCAAGUACAUGCAGUAACUAUAAACACAACACAUUCUUUGACACCAUAAUUCCCAUCCCUGCAGAGAACGAUACCUAAGCAUGUGACAUCUUUCAAUAACAUACCAUUCUUUAUUGCUGUCUUUAAUGCAAUGAGUUUCACCAAAGUAACUCUGGUUUCAGAUAAACGGUAAUACUGUAUGUACGCACACAAACAUAAAAAGGAGAGCCCAACAGCUAAAUCAUACAUCAC
Molecule: long non-coding RNA, 1173 nt
Filed under: Salmo salar (Atlantic salmon)
Lineage: Eukaryota; Metazoa; Chordata; Actinopteri; Salmoniformes; Salmonidae
Description: lncRNA (ENSSSAG00000119535.1, ENSSSAG00020074572.1, ENSSSAG00075039292.1)
Source: RNAcentral